Panicum virgatum (switchgrass) is the source of this 4090-nucleotide long non-coding RNA. RefSeq lists it as uncharacterized. The transcript is spliced from 3 exons. Lineage: Eukaryota; Viridiplantae; Streptophyta; Magnoliopsida; Poales; Poaceae. The record is from RefSeq and is a predicted model, not a curated record.
AGGCGCAAACACAUUCAUCGGCGAGCGUCAAGGUUCAGAAACUUAUUAUAGGGAGAGACUAAGUAGGCAUGUCAGCAUGUGCUGAGCAUGAAUUACAGGGUAUAUCUCCUUUGGCACGGAGGCAUGCAGCCAUGCGUAAGCAUGUUAAUGGAUGGAGUUGAUCGAGCUAAGCACCAAUAUCAGAUAUUGGCUUUGAAAUGCGAGUACAUCAGACUGUUUUCAGUCAAUUGUCGUGAUCAGCUAGACUACCUUGCAGGUGUCUUCAACCAUUAUAAAUUUAUAUGGAUCAAAGAAGCUAUAUAUCCUGCUGGCACCAACUGCUCAUGAAAACAUGUGAAUUCAUCUUCAGGACAUGUGAGUUUCUCAUUAUGUCACAAAGACAAAACCGUUCCUUUCUCUCCUCAAAACAGAACAUAUAUUUCAGACACAACACAUUCAGCUGUACAGUAAUAUGUACUCUACCAGCCAUGGUGCGUGGGGGGUUUAUGUAUAUUUAAGGUCAUAUGGACAAACGAUGGGCUCCCAAACGUAUUAGAAAUGAGGAAGCCAAUGCUUGUAUAUAUGGAACACCAUGGACAAAAUGGUCGAAAAGCUAACUCAUGGCAUCAUCUUACAACUAGGAAGGCCACCCGUGCAUUUGCGCGGCUAGAUGUUACAAUCUCUAAUGUUACAUUUUAAAUUAUUUAAUUAUUUAUAUUUAUUAUUUGUGCAGUUAGGUGUAAGUAUAUUUAAGGUUACACCUUUUUAAUUGGCUUUCAUAAAGUAAUUUUUUGUUGACGAAAAUCAAGAUCUAUUAAAGCAAUUUUGAGGAUCAAUAAUUUGAUUUUAUUUUCAUACUCCUUCUAGGUUUGAAUUGGAUGCCAUUUUGAGAUAGUUCUAAGUUUGUUGUUGUAUAUGUUGAUUAAAAAAUAUUUAGUUUCACUAAAGUGUAAAUUUUUUAAUAGUACUCAAAGUUGUGUUUUGAGGGUCGCGUCAAUAGCAAACAGAUUAUUAUUCAUUUGGAGGUAGUAUUAUUUUUGACAUAAGAAUUUUUGUGAGCAUUUUUUAGGUUUAUGUGUUACAGUUAAUGUUGUAGCGUAUGUUUUUAUUUAUUUUAUUUGGAUUCUAAGUCAAUGAUUUGCGGCAGCUUCUUGACAUCUUCCUAGUACUCACCUGGUGGUGCUGCUUCUUGUUUGCUGUUAUUUUAGUUGCUCAAGGGGAGAGAAAAAAAAAGAGGUUUACUCUCUCAUUCCCAACUUAACUCGUAGAAUCGAUAGAGCAAGUGAAUCAUAUUCACUCACAACCAUUCAUUUCUUCGUUGUUGCCCCUAAUCCAAUAAUAGUUCCUCUACACUCUACUCCUCCGCGUCGUCCACUCCGUAUCCGCGCUGGCUUGUGGUCUUUCCUUUUUCUCAUUUUCCUUUUCUUUUUUCUUAUUUUUUUUCUCACCCCCCUUAUAGUUUCCAAUGGAAUAUGGAUUUAGUGCACCUAUUUUAUUCCUCUCUUAGCCUUGGGUACUAAUUUAAUCAAUUUAAAUAUGCUGCAACUGAUUUGACUAAGACAGUGAGCUAAACAAUGGUUGACAUAAGGUUGUUUCUGGUUUUUUUUAGCGUCAUUUAUUAGUGUCAACAUGACUUUUGACUGAAAUGUUAGUAAGUAGAACGCAUAUUAACUUUUUCUGUACAUGUUUUGAUUGUAUGCUAAAAAUAAUAUUCCUUGCUCCUAUAAGGUUACAAUUAUUCAACUAAAAUGAUAGUAUUUCUUAGUAAACUAUGAGGCUACAACUUUUCUACUUUUUCCAGCGUAGUGCUGGGGCGUGCAAAUAUUUUUCUGAAGCUUGCCCGAAAUUUUUUUAGCAAUGUUUAUGCCAGUAGAAAAAAUAAAUUAAAAAUCAUGAUAGUAAUUUUUAAGAAUCUCCUAGCUUACCCUACGCUAGUUGUUUGGAGUCUCAUUACUUUGUUACAUAUUGGAAUAAUUUCUUUAUAAUGGCAUGGUGGGCUAUAUUUAGUCAAACAUAUUGGUAUUUUGGGCCAAUUUUUAUCGUAAUAGCAGUGGUGGGUAAUUUUAAUUUCUCUUAUUUUCUCCUAUUAACGUGAGAAUUUUUAGGCCUUGAAAUCGAACGUGGAGGCUUCGUUUGUUGGCCAAAUAAUAAGAUAUCUCAGUACAUUGUGAGGCUACAACUUUUCUACUUUUUCGAGCGUGGUGUUGUGGUGUGCAAAUAUUUUUCUAAAGCUUGUUCGGAAUUUUUUUUAUCGAUGUUUAUGCCCGUAGAAAAAAUGAAUUAAAAACCAUGAUCGUAAUUUUUACGAAUCUCCUAGCUUACCCAAGGCUAGUUGUUUGGAGUCUCGUUACUAUGUUAAAUAUUGGUUUAAUUUCUUUAUAAUGGCGUGGUGGGCUAUAUUUAAUUAGACACAGGAGUAUUUUGGGUCAAUUUUUAUCAUAAUGGCAGUGGUUGGAUUAAUUUCUUUAUAAUGGCAUGAUGAGCUAUAUUUAGUCAGACACAGGGGUAUUUUGGGUCAAUUUUUAUUAUAAUGGCAGUGGUGGGUAAUUUUAAUUUUUCUUAGUUUCUCCGAUUAACGUGAGAAUUUUAAUUUAGACCUUGAGAGCGAACGUGGAGGCUCCGUUUGGCCAAAUAAUAAGAUAAUAGAUAACGAGGACGCAUGCAAUUCAAAUUCCACUUGAGGUUAAAAUUAAACCGCCUCAGGCGAAUUAGCAUUAUCACAUUUUUCAUCAUCUAACACUUGUCGAUAAUAUAAUCGCCUCCUUAAAAAAAAUGAAAAGUGCAUAGUCUCUAAAACAUAGAUGAUGGGUUUAGUGAUGUUUCCAACGUGAGGAACUAAUAACGUUGUUGAUAAUAUUAAUUUGUAUACCAAAGCAAAUAGAGUAAAAUAAACUAAGUAUAGGUCCACCAUAAAAUAGCUCCAGACCCAUCGGAAGGCUUUGCUUACAUGUUCUUUGAAGUCUACCCAACAUAGUUUGCAGCACUAGUGACGAUAAGGCAUGCCUUUAAGCACAGGGUGAUAGAGAUCACCGAACUUGAAGUAGAAUUAUCCAAACCACUACACCAAAAGUCCAAAACUAGACAUAACCGAUCGAGCCCCCAGCAACUGCAACUCUGCAAGUGACAAGUUUCUCUAACUUUAGUGUCCAUCUACCAACUAACUUGCAUUGACAGGCAAUAAUGAGUAUAAGGAUAGGCGCGCUUAGUUUCGUGUCCAAUAAGGUAGCUGAUGGAACAACUGUCUUGUUUUGGACAGAUACUUGGAAUGGUCAACUCCUACAGUUAAAAUUUCCAGAGCUUCAUUCCUUUGCCAAAGACAAAGGGAUCUCAUUCAAAAAAAACCCUCUUUUCCUAAUAUGACGGCAAUUCCAAGACUUAACAAACAGCAUACAACUUUUACAACCACAAGGGGAUAAGAAUAUUUGGACCUAUACUUGGGGCAACACGAACUUCUUCUCGAGCUUACAAAGAAAUUAUUGGCCACCGCGUGGUCCAUCCUCUUUUUUCAUGCGAUCUGGAAAUCCAAGUGUCAGAUGAAGCACAAGGUAUUCUUUUGGCUACCCUUGAGAGACAAACUGAGUACUAGCGAUCUACUUAGAAGAAGGAACAUGGUGCGAAAGGACGGGCGGUUGAGUUGGCUAGCCCGGCCCGGUAGCGUCGCGCUCCCAGCAGGUCCUGAGUUCGAAUCUCAUCAGAAGCAAAUUUCAGGCUGCUAGAAGAAAAAAAAACCCUCGCUGUACUCGUCGCAAGGCUUGGCCCUCUCGGGCAUGGGCCAGGGUUCGGGGGGGUUUCUCUACCCGGUUAGCCGGUUAGGCUUCCUCUUAAUGAAAAAACGGUGGGGUCCGUUUCACACCUCCCGGGUAGAGUUUUUUUUAGAAUCUUAGAGUAACUCCAAGAGACUCUCUAUAUAUAUCCUAAUUGUUAAGAAUAUAGAUUUUGAUGGAAAAAUAGCCUCCAAGAGCUUCUCUAAGUGCUUAUCCAAAUAUAACCAUCAUCUAUUCCGGAUUUCUCGCUAGCCAAAUAUAGAUAGCGAAAAUGACUCUCUAGAGUGUAAACAAGAUAUAGAAAAGCUGUUGGAAUGUGAAAAUAUAUAGAGAUGGAUUUUUAUGUA